CAGUAAAGAGUUCCACAGACCCACCACUCUCUGGCUGAAGGGAAGCUGAAGAUAAUGGUGCUGCAAUCAAAAUUGGGAAUGAGCAAAAGGCAAGAACUGGAGGAGCACAGGUCUUUUGUGCUACAGCGGGCACACAGAGAGGGGAGCCGGAAG
Chiloscyllium plagiosum (whitespotted bambooshark) is the source of this 153-nucleotide non-coding RNA. Lineage: Eukaryota; Metazoa; Chordata; Chondrichthyes; Orectolobiformes; Hemiscylliidae. The record is from RefSeq and is a predicted model, not a curated record.